CUGCCUCUUUGAUAUUGAGACGGACUAGUCGGGACUUGGAGCUGAAACUCGGACCCACUUUUUCACCCCGAAACCACUUCCCGAUUUUCAUAAUUCAGACGUCCGAAAAUUCAUAAAAGCUGCUGCUCAAUUUACCACUGACCAAAGCUCCUCCCUCUCUCUCUAGGGUUGUUUCGGAUUAACGGAAUUAUACCGGCGAUCACCUUCGGAGGCGGUGUGGUUCGUCGGAGACGUCAGUGCACCGAUCAGAGAGUCUAAGAGCACCGGCAUUUACCCCUGGCGUUCUCUGUAUAUUGAAUAUUGUUUGUUUCUUCGAGAUGGGUAGCAGUUCAGACGAAGAGUCAGACUUCAGCGAUUCAGAGAUAAAUGAAUACAAAGAGAAACCUUAUGAGCUACUCAAGGCUGGCACUUAUAAAGUAAAGGGCCCAAAUGGUUCCCUUAGGUGCCCUUUUUGUGCUGGUAAGAAGAAACAAGACUAUCAGUACAAUCAUCUUCUUCAACAUGCGAUAGGGGUGGCUAAGGGCUCAGCCAGCCGAAGUGCAAAGCAGAAAGCAAACCACCUUGCACUGGCUACAUUCCUAGAAAAUGACCUAGCUAAUGAGGCUGAGCCACUACCUCAACAUACUGCACCUUUACCUGCAGCUAAGCCUGAGAAAAGUGAGUUGUAUUGUUGGCCCUGGGUCGGGAUAGUAGCUAACAUACUAAAUGAGCCAAAGAACAGCGAUUGCUUGGCUAGCCGUGGUUACUGGUUGAAUAAGUUCUCCAAAUACAAGCCUAUAGAAAUUGAAAUAUUCUGGGAUGAUCAACAACACACCGCACAAGCUGUUCUAAGAUUUGAUAAUGAUUGGACUGGGUUCAAGAAUGCGAUGGAGUUUGAGAAGUCCUUUGAAGCUAAUGGCCGAAGUAAGAAAGAAUGGAACGAUCGAAGAACCUGUCCAGGUCCAAAUAUUUAUGGUUGGUUUGCUCGUGAAGAUGAUUACAAACUGGAAGGGCCUGUUGGAGAUUAUCUUCGCAGGAAAGCAGAAUUGAAAACAAUCUCUGAUCUUAUUCAGGAAGCAACUAAAGAUAGGAACAAAGUUGUGGGUAAUUUGGUCAAUGAGCUUGAGUUGAAAAACGAAAAUUUGGAUCAAUUGCAGAUCAAGUACAAUGAAAAGACAUUGUCACUCAGUAGGAUGCUUGAAGAGAAAGACGAGCUUCACCGUUCCUUCUAUGAAGAAACAAGGAAGCUGCAACGCAUUGCUCGCGAGCACAUUAAGAGAGUUUUGGACGAACAGGAGAUGUUGAACUAUGAGCUGGAGAAUAAGAAACGAAGACUUGAUUCAUGGAAUAAAGAAUUGAACAAGCGUGAAGCAUUAACUGAACGUGAGAGACAGAAACUUGAAGAGGAGAAGGCAAAGAAUGAUUUGAGGAAUAAUGCGCUUCAAUUGGCUUCAGAGGAGCAGAGGAAAGCUGAUGAAAAUGUCCUACGGCUAGUGGAAGAACAACAAAGAGAGAAGGAAGAGGCUCUUAAAAAAGUGCUUGAAUUAGAAAGGAAUUUAGAUGAGAAGCAGAAAUUAGAACUUGAAAUUGAAGAACUUAAAGGAAAACUAGAGGUGAUGAAGCAUAUGGGAGGUGACGAUGAUGGAGUUAUUCAGCAGAAGAUAGACAAGAUGAACCAGCAGUUGGCCGAGAAAAAAGAUGAUUUGGAAGGUCUUGAAGAUUUGAAUCAGCAACUUCUCGCAAAAGAGCGCCAAAGUAAUGAUGAGCUACAGGAGGCUCGCAAAGAAUUAAUCGAGGCCUUGAAAGAUAUGCUGAGUAGCAGCCGUGUUAAUAUCGGGAUAAAGAGGAUGGGUGAAAUUGAUGAGAAAGCUUUCAAGAAUGCAUGCAAGGAAAGAUUCCCACCUGGAGAAGCUGAGAUGAAGGCUGCAGAAGUGGUCUCCUUGUGGCAAGAGAAACUGAAAAAUCCUGAAUGGCACCCAUUCCAGAUCAUCGAAGAUGAGAAGGGGAAUCAUCAGAGUUUAAUAAAGGAGGACGAUGAACUGCUACAAGGCCUUAAAGAGGAAUGGGGAGAUGCAGUGUAUGAUGCUGUUACUGUGGCCUUGAAGGAACUGCAUGAAUACAACCCAAGUGGAUGUUAUGUGGUUCCUGAGCUGUGGAACUUCAAAGAAAAUAGGAAGGCCACUCUGAAGGAAGUCAUUGCUUACAUCUUUGCUCAGUUGAAGACACUCAAACGCAAGCGAACUUGAACAGGUUUGCUAGUCUUCAUAGUUCGCGAUCGUUUAAGAGCCUACUUUUUCGGUGCAUAUGUUGCGACCAUGAGGAAUUGGAGCCCACGUUGAGCAUCAUCCGGAGUUAACUAGGUGCUACCUAAUGUUGAAUAUUGUAGCUAGGUAUUGAGUUUUUACUGGAAAUUAUGUAAUUGAAGUUUCAGAUACCAACGUACUGCCUGCAGCUAACUUUGGCAUGCUUUUCAGCAAUUAGGUUGAUGUUAUGGAUUAUAACCCCUUGAUUAUCAAGUUAACCUGGCAUCUACAUAGAUGCCUCGUUGCUUUUCCUAUUGAUAGAGCUACAAAGGUGACCAAAACCGGCUUUUACAUU
Sesamum indicum (sesame) is the source of this 2577-nucleotide RNA transcript. It is a transcript of the gene named factor of DNA methylation 1, with no coding region annotated. The record is from RefSeq and is a predicted model, not a curated record. NCBI's taxonomy places the organism in Eukaryota, Viridiplantae, Streptophyta, Magnoliopsida, Lamiales, Pedaliaceae.